CGCACGGGUGCGUAACGCGUAUGCAAUCUACCUUGUACAGGGGAAUAGCCCAGGGAAACUUGGAUUAAUGCCCCAUAGUAUUAUGAAAUAGCAUUAUUUUAUAAUUAAAGAUUUAUCGGUACGAGAUGAGCAUGCGUCCCAUUAGCUAGUUGGUAUGGUAACGGCAUACCAAGGCUACGAUGGGUAGGGGCCCUGAGAGGGGGAUCCCCCACACUGGCACUGAGACACGGACCAG
RNAcentral lists this ribosomal RNA (235 nucleotides) under uncultured bacterium. RNAcentral describes it as "partial 16S ribosomal RNA". It matches the Rfam family "Bacterial small subunit ribosomal RNA", at positions 99 to 334 of the family's 1533-position model. The record is from RNAcentral.